GUUUGAUCCUGGCUCAGAACGAACGUUGGCGGCGUGGAUAAGACAUGCAAGUCGAGCGAGGACUGGGGGGCAACUCCCAGAGCCGAGCGGCGUAAGGGGCAGUAAUGCGUGGGUAACGUACCCCCGGGUUCCGGAUAGCCAGCCGAAAGGCUGGGUAAUACGGAGCGACGUAGCCUGGAGGCAUCUUCGGGCUACCAAAGAUUUAUCGCCCGGGGAGCGGCUCACGUGGUAUUAGCUGGUUGGUAGGGUAAUGGCCUACCAAGGCGAAGAUGCCUAGCUGGUGUGAGAGCACGACCAGCGCCACUGGCACUGAGACACUGGCCAGACACCUACGGGUGGCUGCAGUCGAGAAUCUUCGGCAAUGGGCGCAAGCCUGACCGAGCGACGCCGCGUGCGCGAUGAAGGCCUUCGGGUUGUAAAGCGCUGUCGAGGGGAGGAAAAGCCCGCGAGGGUUUGAUCGGCCCCUGGAGGAAGCACGGGCUAAGUUCGUGCCAGCAGCCGCGGUAAGACGAACCGUGCGAACGUUGUUCGGAAUCACUGGGCUUAAAGGGUGCGUAGGCGGGUUGUCCAGUCUGGGGUGAAAUCCCACGGCUCAACCGUGGAAUUGCCUCAGAUACUGACGACCUCGAGGGAGGUAGGGGCGAGCGGAACUGUGGGUGGAGCGGUGAAAUGCGUUGAUAUCCACAGGAACUCCGGUGGCGAAAGCGGCUCGCUGGACCUCUUCUGACGCUGAGGCACGAAAGCUAGGGGAGCAAACGGGAUUAGAUACCCCGGUAGUCCUAGCCCUAAACGAUGAGGACUAGGUAGUAGGCUAGACAUGGGCUUACUGCCGAAGCAAAGUGCUAAGUCUCGCCUGGG
This 858-nucleotide ribosomal RNA is filed under the name uncultured bacterium. RNAcentral describes it as "bacterial SSU rRNA". It matches the Rfam family "Bacterial small subunit ribosomal RNA", at positions 11 to 877 of the family's 1533-position model. The record is from RNAcentral.